UGCAGAAUCCCGUGAACCAUCGAGUCUUUGAACGCAAGUUGCGCCCGAUGCCAUUAGGUUGAGGGCACGUCUGCCUGGGUGUCACAUAUUGAAGCCUCCUGCCAAUAUCCUUUUGACAGGUAUUGUGCGGGGUGAAUGAUGGCCUCCCGUGAGCUCUUUCGUCUCAUGGUUGGUUGAAAAUUGAGACCUUGGUCGGGUGUGCCAUGAUAGAUGGUGGUUGUGUGACCCACGAGACCAAUCAUGCGCUGCUCAAUUGAAUUUGGCCUCUUUUACCCAUAUGCGUUACUAAAUGCUCGUGAUGAGACCUCAGGUCAGGCGGGGCUACCCGCUGAAUUUAAGCAUAUCAAUAAGCGGAGGAAAAGAAACUAACAAGGAUUCCCUUAGUAACGGCGAGCGAACCGGGAUAAGCCCACCAUGAGAAUCGGUCGCCCUCGGCGUUCGA
Molecule: ribosomal RNA, 442 nt
Filed under: Vicia sylvatica
Lineage: Eukaryota; Viridiplantae; Streptophyta; Magnoliopsida; Fabales; Fabaceae
Description: eukaryotic LSU rRNA
Rfam family: Eukaryotic large subunit ribosomal RNA (bases 302-442)
Source: RNAcentral